AGGGAAUCUUCCGCAAUGGACGAAAGUCUGACGGAGCAACGCCGCGUGAGUGAUGAAGGCUUUCGGGUCGUAAAACUCUGUUGUUAGGGAAGAACAAGUACGAGAGUAACUGCUCGUACCUUGACGGUACCUAACCAGAAAGCCACGGCUAACUACGUGCCAGCAGCCGCGGUAAUACGUAGGUGGCAAGCGUUAUCCGGAAUUAUUGGGCGUAAAGCGCGCGCAGGCGGUUUCUUAAGUCUGAUGUGAAAGCCCACGGCUCAACCGUGGAGGGUCAUUGGAAACUGGGGAACUUGAGUGCAGAAGAGAAAAGCGGAAUUCCACGUGUAGCGGUGAAAUGCGUAGAGAUGGGGAGGAACACCAGUGGCGAAGGCGGCUUUUUGGUCUGUAACUGACGCUGAGGCGCGAAAGCGUGGGGAGCAAACA
RNAcentral lists this ribosomal RNA (426 nucleotides) under uncultured bacterium. RNAcentral describes it as "bacterial SSU rRNA". It matches the Rfam family "Bacterial small subunit ribosomal RNA", at positions 356 to 774 of the family's 1533-position model. The record is from RNAcentral.